Molecule: long non-coding RNA, 2202 nt
Filed under: Salmo salar (Atlantic salmon)
Lineage: Eukaryota; Metazoa; Chordata; Actinopteri; Salmoniformes; Salmonidae
Description: lncRNA (ENSSSAG00000084711.1, ENSSSAG00000103845.1)
Source: RNAcentral
ACUGUAGCCAUAUAAUACCACUCAUAGACUUUUUCAUUAUUUAAUUAGGAUGAAGAGAAAACUAGUUUUUUAUGAAGUUGAACAUGUGCUCUUUAUCUCAGUGUUAAAAUUAGGUGAAAUCAAAGUUGUUGUUUUUUACUCACCAUCACAGUUUAAAAUCACUGCCAAAGUUUUGGCUUUGUGGCCCAAAAAAGUAUCUCCAUUGACCAAUAUGUAAAUAAUAAUUUAACUCUGUAGACUAGAUUUCAUAGCCAUGCAUUUCUGGAAUAUUGUCAGGCAUUACAUGCAAUUUUAGUAAAGAUGCAAAUGUAUUUACAUGUAUCUGAAAUACAUUUUACAUGACAUUAAAUGUAUUUAAAUGUAUCAUUUUUUUCGUAUGGAAAGGGUGAGUUAACUUUUGCUAUGUAAACAGGUGUGUAUGUCUUGGUGAUGUGAACAAAAGUUCCUCUAUACAGUUGUGUUAAUGAUGUCACCUCUAUUAUCAUGUAUGCUCAUAUAUGCACAGUGUCAUAAUUGUAUAGAAAACACAUACACACAGACAUAAACACAGUUUUAGAACGCUAUCUGUUCUGUUGAGAGAUCGUUUUCGAUAUGAGACAGAAUCUAAUUGUGUGUGUGAUGUUAUAGACAGUAGAUGGGAGAAAGGCUUAUUUGGUACAAUGUGUGUCAAUGGGAGGUGGUCAUGAGUAACUAUGGUAGCUAAAGAUUCAAUCAGCCCUUCUACCUGGCCUAGCCAUACAUCCAGUGUACGUCCCAAAUGGCAACCUAUUACCUAAAUAAUGCACUGCUUUUGACCAGGGCCCUAUAGUCUCUGACAUACCCUCAAAAUAUAAGGAAUAGGGUGCCAUUUGGAACGUAGCCCCAGUGAGUAACAGCUGAUGUUGUCCUGCAGGGCCUCUCCAUUACUGGACCUGACACAUCCACGCAACUGAACCCUUCCAAGCCCAGCCACUAAUCCACACAUACACACAGACUUUUUCCUGCUGAAAUUCUAACAUGUCCAAAAGCGAAUACUGGAACAAUACUUCUAACAUAGAACGUGGGGAAUGGUCAGAGGCAAUCUAUAGAGCACUAAUGUCAUUUUGUUUGUUAUUUUGUGAUGACGUUAAAAUGUUAUAAAGGAAAUACUGUAACUUGGAAAGUAUACCCACUACAUAUAUGAAGUUUACAUACUCCGUGUUGUGCAUAUAAAAUUAACAAUUAUGAAAGUGUUUUUGUUAAGAGAGGGAUGUGAUUUGAUAAGCUAUAAGAGAUAAUUGUUUUACCUAACUUUGCACAUUGUUUUACCUAACUUUGAGUCGUUACCGCCUGGAGUGAGGUCAGGGAGCGUGUCAGCCUGCCGGAACCACCCCUUUUGAGUAAAAUGUAUAAAUGAUGGGUUAAGAAAAAAACACAUCAGACCAGAAAGACGUGAAGCUACAGCUGCAGGUUUACAGUGGUUUGAAGUUUUUACUUUUAAUCUCAACACGAGGUGGAGACGAUAAACUCAUCUCCAGGAUGAUCACUAGUAUGGCUGAUUAGCUGUCCUAAGUAAAGUAUCUUCUAAAGCGAAUUUAAGUUGCACUAUCCUGUUACUCUGCUCAAACUAUCGAUACGGCUGGGUAGCCUAUCUUCAAAGAAGAGUGAAUGGAAGGAAAGUCAACUCUGUAGUUCUGUUCAGGACUACACAUCAAGUCACCGGAUACCGGACAACCACAAAGAAGGACAACAGUAGAAGACUUGUUGGAACCAUUUCGGACAAUCAGAGCCUUACAAGCGUGCCGCGAAAAGGCCAAACCCCCUUUCCAAGGCUGCCCUGUUCACCGAGAGAUCCCCAGCAAACCCAGGCAUUUCACGUAAAUACAUUCAUGAUUUCUUACUCAAAGCAGGCGGCGGUUCGUGUGCAAAGUAUAUGGUUACUGUAGGUGAGAGUAGUUUCUGAAUGUACCAAUGCUAAGUGUCUCUGUCCCUCUCUCUCUCCCUCUCCAUCUCUUUUGUAAUUAGCAGCCAUGUUGUUGUCAUUUCGCUAGGGACCUGUUUUCAGCGUAUUAAGUCUACAGUCAAUAACCGGUGCAAAGUGUGUAUGUUUAUCCUGUGUUCCCAUUUAAUUAGCUAGUAAAUAAAUAAUUAAACCAAUUUGUGUAGUACUGAAUCAUAAGUACGGCUUGGGUUUUUGCAGAUGCAAGGAAGUUACGACUGUUCAGAAUGAUGACAUGAUAUGAG